Molecule: ribosomal RNA, 258 nt
Filed under: uncultured bacterium
Lineage: Bacteria
Description: partial 16S ribosomal RNA
Rfam family: Bacterial small subunit ribosomal RNA
Source: RNAcentral
UGGCGGACGGGUGAGUAACGCGUGGAAAACCUGCCGUAUACUGGGGGGAUAACACUUAGAAAUAGGUGCUAAUACCGCAUAAGCGCACAGCUUCGCAUGAAGCGGUGUGAAAAACUCUGGUGGUAUACGAUGGUUCCGCGUCUGAUUAGCUAGUUGGUGGGGUAAUGGCCUACCAAGGCAACGAUCAGUAGCCGGCCUGAGAGGGUGAACGGCCACAUUGGGACUGAGACACGGCCAAACUCCUACGGAAGGCAGCAG